GAUGAACGCUGACAGAAUGCUUAACACAUGCAAGUCAACUUGAAUUUGGGUUUUUUAACUUAGAUUUGGGUGGCGGACGGGUGAGUAACGCGUAAAGAACUUGCCUCACAGCUAGGGACAACAUUUGGAAACGAAUGCUAAUACCUGAUAUUAUGAUUAUAAGGCAUCUUAGAAUUAUGAAAGCUAUAUGCGCUGUGAGAGAGCUUUGCGUCCCAUUAGCUAGUUGGAGAGGUAACGGCUCACCAAGGCGAUGAUGGGUAGCCGGCCUGAGAGGGUGAACGGCCACAAGGGGACGGAGACACGGCCCUUACUCCUACGGGAGGCAGCAGUGGGGAAUAUUGGACAAUGGACCAAGAGUCUGAUCCAGCAAUUCUGUGUGCACGAUGACGUUUUUCGGAAUGUAAAGUGCUUUCAGUUGGGAAGAAAAAAAUGACGGUACCAACAGAAGAAGUGACGGCUAAAUACGUG
RNAcentral lists this ribosomal RNA (468 nucleotides) under uncultured bacterium. Its description in RNAcentral is "partial 16S ribosomal RNA". It matches the Rfam family "Bacterial small subunit ribosomal RNA", at positions 28 to 507 of the family's 1533-position model. The record is from RNAcentral.